RNAcentral lists this ribosomal RNA (501 nucleotides) under uncultured bacterium. RNAcentral describes it as "partial 16S ribosomal RNA". It matches the Rfam family "Bacterial small subunit ribosomal RNA", at positions 30 to 523 of the family's 1533-position model. The record is from RNAcentral.
AUUGAACGCUGGCGGCAUGCCUUACACAUGCAAGUCGAACGGCAGCACGGGUGCUUGCACCUGGUGGCGAGUGGCGAACGGGUGAGUAAUAUAUCGGAACGUACCUUAUUGUGGGGGAUAACGCAGCGAAAGCUGUGCUGAUACCGCAUAAUCCCUAAGGGGGAAAGCGGGGGACCGUAAGGCCUCGCGCAAUUAGAGCGGCCGAUACCUGAUUAGCUAGUUGGUGAGGUAAAGGCUCACCAAGGCAACGAUCAGUAGCUGGUCUGAGAGGACGAUCAGCCACACGGGGACUAAGACACGGCCCAGACUCCUACGGGAGGCAGCAGUGGGGAAUUUUGGACAAUGGGGGCAACCCUGAUCCAGCAAUGCCGCGUGAGUGAAGAAGGCCUUCGGGUUGUAAAGCUCUUUUGUCAGGGAAGAAACAGCAGCUCUAACACAGUUUGCGAAUGACGGUACCUGAAGAAUAAGCACCGGCUAACUACGUGCCAGCAGCCGCCGUAA